Rhea pennata is the source of this 3391-nucleotide RNA transcript. It is a transcript of the gene named lamin-L(III)-like, with no coding region annotated. The record is from RefSeq and is a predicted model, not a curated record. NCBI's taxonomy places the organism in Eukaryota, Metazoa, Chordata, Aves, Rheiformes, Rheidae. The transcript has 13 exons.
AUGGCCACGGCUCUGUCCUCCACGCCGGCGGGCGGGGGCCGCUCCCUGGGCCGCGCCGCCGCCGCCUCGCCGCUGAGCCCGACGCGGCUGAGCCGGCUGCAGGAGAAGGAGGAGCUGCGGCAGCUCAACGACCGCCUGGCCGCCUACAUCGAGCGGGUGCGGGCGCUGGAGGCCGACAAGGCGGCGCUGCAGCAGCGGCUGGCCGAGCAGGAGGCGGGCAGCGGCCGGGAGCUGGGCAGCCUGCGGCUCCGCUACGAGGCGGAGCUGGCCGACGCCCGCCGGGCGCUGGACGACAUCGCCAUCGAGCGGGCCGCGCUGCAGGUGGAGCUGGGCAAGAUCGGCGAGGAGCACCGGCAGCUGCACAGCAGGAAUUCAAAGAAGGAAGCAGACUUAAACCUGGCACAGGCUCGCGUGAGGGACCUCGAUGCUCAGCUGAACGCGAAGGAAGCCGACCUAGCAACAGCCCUGAGUGAGAACCGAAGCCUGGAGAACGACCUCCGGGAACUGAAGGAUCAAGUAGUCACUCUGAAGAUCUCACUGGAGGAUACCAAAAAGCAUCUCCACGGUGAAAUGUUGAGGAGAGUGGAUCUGGAAAAUCAAAUGAAAACUUUGCAAGAGCAAAUGACAUUCCAGAAGCGCCUUCAUGAAGAUGAGCUAAAAGAGACAAAGAGAGUCCAUGAGAGCAGGAUAGCAGAAAUAGAAUCCGGCCGUCAGAGAGAAUUUGAAAGUAAGCUCUCGGAUGCUCUGCAAGGGCUCAGAAAACAACAUGAAGAACAAAUUCAAGGAUACAAAGAAGAGCUGGAACGAACAUUCAGUGCAAAAAUGGAGAAUGCCCAGCUGUCUGCGGCAAGGAAUAGUGACUUUGCCAAUGCUGCUCGGGAGGAGCUAAUGGAAACGAAGCUGAGAGUCGAUGCUCUGACGUCCCAAGUUAGUCAAUAUCAAAGCCAGAAUGCUGCUUUGGAGAACAGAAUAAGGGAGCUACAAGAGACACUGGAUUAUGAUCGUGAUCUCCAUCGAAGACGUAUGGCAGAAAAAGAGAAAGAAAUGGCACAAACCCAGCAGCAGGUACAAGCACAGUUGGAAGAAUAUGAGCAUCUCUUAGAUGUGAAACUGGCUUUAGAUCUGGAAAUAAAUGCCUACCGAAAGAUGCUGGAAGGAGAGGAGCAGAGACUAAAGCUCUCACCUAGUCCAUCUUCACAUGGCACUGCAACUCAAGCAACAACGAGUCAAGGGCGCCGGUUUCUGCAUGGGAGAAAAAGGAAAAUGAAAGAAGCCAAAAUGAGAGGACGCAGUACUGGAUUUAAGACUGUUCAGCGUGCUUCAUCUUCUGGAAAUGUGUCUAUUGAAGAAAUUGAUACUGAGGGAAAAUUUGUCAGGCUUAAAAACAACUCUGAAGAGGAUCAACCGCUGCAUGGAUGGGUGUUGAGACGACGGCUUGGAAGUAUCUCUGAUGCAACAUACAGAUUCCCUUCACGGUUCACUCUUCAGGCAGGCCAGAUGGUUACAAUUUGGGGUGCAGAUGCUGGUGUAAGCCCAGGUCCUAGUGAUCUGGUCUGGAAGUCUCAGUCUUGGGGAACAGGGGACACCAUUGGUGUUACACUCAUUACAGAUGAUGGUGAGGAACUGGCAGAGAGGAAGAUAAUGCAUGUACCCAGAGGAGAGGGAAGUGGUGAACAAGAUGAUGACUAUGAGGAAGAAAUAACUGGAAGUGAAAUGGAGUUUCCAUCUCAGACCAAAAGAAGAAGAAAAAAGAAAUGUUGUUUGGUUUCAUGAUAGUGAUUCCUGUGAGCAUCCUAAAGCAGCUUUACAACACAACUGUGAGCCACUUACGCAAAAUGAGGACCCUAGCUGUUCUAUUAUGUAAUGAAGACAAGGUGAUCAUCUAAACAUCUCAGCGCAAAGUGACAUUUUGGACUACAUGUGUUCUAGUAUCCUCUGCAAUACCUGAAACUUGGAAUUCACACCUAUCUGAUGUGUGUGUAAGAAGUGUUGUCCAUAAUGUGAAAUUUCCUACUGUCUGACACUGGACCCUGUCUUGGAUUCAACUAUUUGAAGAGCAGCAAAGUGCAAUCUUCUUAAAUUUUUUUGCUCUAAAUUGAACAUAAGGAUCUCAUUUCCAUAACUUGCUUGAAUACGGGAGAGCAUACAGUUUACAAUACUUAAUGUUAGACAUGUGUCCCAAAAUGAUGAUAAAUACUUAAGACUGAGCAUGAGGCUGCCCAGCUUUCUGAAUAUUUUGAUAUGGGUUUUCUCUGAAGGCAAUUUCUGUCUUGAGCCUGAGUAGGAAACUGUGGCCCAGAUUACAGCCUAGCUUGCACCUUGAGCAAGUCUGAACUUGGCUGUGGGAAAAGCAUUUUAUCCUGAAGGAGUGCUGAGUGUCUGAAGUGUUUCCUGCUUAGAUCCUGACACUGAAAUACAGAACUGGUCUAGAUCACUUGCUAGAACUUUCUAGUGUUUAAAAUUUUAAAAUUAAAAGCAACUUGUAAAAUGGUUUUUUACUUGUUUGUUAUUAAAUGUACUGUUCUGUUCUAGCACCAGGAAAUCUAGAGACCUUGGUAUUUGCUAUUUCUAGAUACAAUACAGCACAGCAUAGCUUUUACUUGUUUGCUGGAACUGGACAGUUGCAUCCUAUAAAUGUGUGUGUUUUUUGGGGAAGCAUCUCAUUCCAACUCAUAAGGUACUCUGAAUAGUGCUGACAAGCCAGCCUCUUAAGGGGAUAGGAAGCAUGUUGAAAAAAAGCAGAGCUAGGAAGCAUCAACUGCAAUAAAAGAUGCAUCAGAAAUACCUGCUCUUAAUGUUCCUGUGCACCAAAUGUUUGAUGUAAGUAGGGGGAAGUGCAGUCUGCGGUAGUGCUUUGCCUAUGUCUAACCAGAUAGAUGGGGAAUACUGUCUCUUGGCCAGCAGGUAAUUUACUGUAACUUCAAUGGCUUUGCUGCCCACAGAGGCACAAGUGACACUUGGCAGCAGGCAGUCAUCCUUCACAGUCAUUAUUCCACCACCACUACCUGCCCCAGCCUACCUGGUUGCUGUAUGGUGAAAAAAUAGCCCUUUCUCUGUAAGAACGUGAAGGGAGGGAAGCAGCUGCAAUUGCAGACCUCUUCAGCUACUGGAAUAGUUUCUGAUGUUCUCUGCUGCCUUGCCAAAGUCUUCAGUGUUACAGAACUGAAUUUCAGAUCUGAUCUGUGUUCGGAUGCAGUGAGGCUUUUCUUAGACUGGUUUAAAUUUAGUUAAAUUAAGCUAUUUAAUAAUUGAAGUUUUAAGAUAUGGCAACCAAAUGCUGACCGAAUGCUUGCAUUUUAGCAGAUCUAAGAUUCUUGUACCUUAUGGCCUAAACUUAAAUAGAUGCUGCUAUAACUUUGCUACAUUUAUCUUGAUGUGUUAAAACUUUUUU